UACGUAGGGUGCGAGCGUUGUCCGGAAUUAUUGGGCGUAAAGGGCUCGUAGGCGGUUUGUCGCGUCGGGAGUGAAAACACUGGGCUUAACUCAGUGCUUGCUUCCGAUACGGGCAGACUAGAGGUAUUCAGGGGAGAACGGAAUUCCUGGUGUAGCGGUGAAAUGCGCAGAUAUCAGGAGGAACACCGGUGGCGAAGGCGGUUCUCUGGGAAUGUCCUGACGCUGAGGAGCGAAAGUGUGGGGAGCAAACGGG
This 253-nucleotide ribosomal RNA is filed under the name uncultured bacterium. Its description in RNAcentral is "partial 16S ribosomal RNA". It matches the Rfam family "Bacterial small subunit ribosomal RNA", at positions 524 to 776 of the family's 1533-position model. The record is from RNAcentral.